RNAcentral lists this ribosomal RNA (444 nucleotides) under uncultured bacterium. RNAcentral describes it as "partial 16S ribosomal RNA". It matches the Rfam family "Bacterial small subunit ribosomal RNA", at positions 331 to 792 of the family's 1533-position model. The record is from RNAcentral.
CCAGACUCCUACGGGAGGCAGCAGUGGGGAAUAUUGCACAAUGGGGGAAACCCUGAUGCAGCGACGCCGCGUGGGUGAAGGAGCGUUUCGGCGCGUAAAGCCCUAUCGGCAGGGAAGAAGAUGACGGUACCUGACCAAGAAGCUCCGGCUAAAUACGUGCCAGCAGCCGCGGUAAUACGUAUGGAGCAAGCGUUAUCCGGAUUUACUGGGUGUAAAGGGAGCGUAGGCGGCCUGCCAAGUCUGAUGUGAAAUACCGGGGCUCAACCCCGGGGCUGCAUUGGAAACUGGCAGGCUGGAGUGUCGGAGAGGCAGGCGGAAUUCCUAGUGUAGCGGUGAAAUGCGUAGAUAUUAGGAGGAACACCAGUGGCGAAGGCGGCCUGCUGGACGAUGACUGACGCUGAGGCUCGAAAGCGUGGGGAGCAAACAGGAUUAGAUACCCCCGUA